ACCACGAACCUAGAAACCCAAAGAGAACAAUUACCAUCAAAUGCUGUACAGUCUAACUCAUUAAGUUCUGAUCUUCUCCUUGUGGAACUUUCCUAUUGCCUGGCUAAAUGAUACUCUUUUGAAUAAAAAAAAUUGACAACUUAACUCCAAUCACUAGUUUUUUAAAAAAAUAAAAAUACCAAAUCUAAUCUGUUUCAAAUUAUUCCACGAGACUUCCUAAAUUAUCAGAACAUGAGCCUUAAUUCCAGAAGAAUAAUUCAAUCUCAAAUACAAAAACCAAUUAAUGGGGAUUAAUAAUUACCACAGCACCAGUGUCCAUGUG
Molecule: unclassified non-coding RNA, 322 nt
Filed under: Hevea brasiliensis (rubber tree)
Lineage: Eukaryota; Viridiplantae; Streptophyta; Magnoliopsida; Malpighiales; Euphorbiaceae
Source: RNAcentral